CGCGGCGUUGGGCGGGGCCAUGUUCACCGUUGAGCAGACGGAGCAGGCGCUGGUGCUGCGCUUCGGCGAGCCUGUCGCCGGCCGCGGCC
This 89-nucleotide transfer RNA is filed under the name freshwater sediment metagenome. Its description in RNAcentral is "tRNA-Ala". The record is from RNAcentral.